GACAGAGGGUGCAAACGUUGCUCGGAAUUACUGGGCGUAAAGCGCGUGUAGGCGGGCCGGCAAGUCGGGCGUGAAAUCCCUGGGCUCAACCCAGGAACUGCACUCGAAACUUCCGGUCUAGAGUGGUGGAGAGGGAAGUGGAAUUCCUGGUGUAGAGGUGAAAUUCGUAGAUAUCAGGAGGAACACCAGUGGCGAAGGCGGCUUCCUGGACACCAACUGACGCUGAGACGCGAAAGCGUGGGGAGCAAACAGG
This 253-nucleotide ribosomal RNA is filed under the name uncultured bacterium. Its description in RNAcentral is "partial 16S ribosomal RNA". It matches the Rfam family "Bacterial small subunit ribosomal RNA", at positions 524 to 776 of the family's 1533-position model. The record is from RNAcentral.